UGGGGAAUAUUGGACAAUGGGCGCAAGCCUGAUCCAGCAACGCCGCGUGGAGGACGAAGGCCUUAGGGUCGUAAACUCCUGUCAGUAGGGACGAAAAAGUAGGGUCGAACAGGCCCUGCCAUUGACGGUACCUGCAGAGGAAGCCCCGGCUAACUCCGUGCCAGCAGCCGCGGUAAUACGGAGGGGGCAAGCGUUAUUCGGAUUUACUGGGCGUAAAGGGCGUGUAGGCGGCUUGAUAGGUCAAAAGGUGAAAGCCCUCGGCUCAACCGAGGAACUGCCUUUGAAACCAUCUAGCUCGAGGCCGGGAGGGGGUAGCGGAAUUCCUGGUGUAGCGGUGAAAUGCGUAGAUAUCAGGAGGAACACCAGUGGCGAAGGCGGCUACCUGGACCGGUUCUGACGCUGAGGCGCGAAAGCGUGGGGAGCAAACAGGAUUAGAUACCCUGGUAGUCCA
Molecule: ribosomal RNA, 451 nt
Filed under: uncultured bacterium
Lineage: Bacteria
Description: bacterial SSU rRNA
Rfam family: Bacterial small subunit ribosomal RNA
Source: RNAcentral